This 314-nucleotide ribosomal RNA is filed under the name uncultured eukaryote. RNAcentral's name for it is "partial 18S ribosomal RNA". It matches the Rfam family "Eukaryotic small subunit ribosomal RNA", at positions 1470 to 1796 of the family's 1831-position model. The record is from RNAcentral.
CCCCUAGAUGUUCUGGGCCGCACGCGCGCUACACUGAACAGUUCAACAAGUCUUAACCUUGGCCGAUAGGUCUGGGUAAUCUUUGAACGCUGUUCGUGAUUGGGAUAGACCUUUGCAAUUAUGGGUCUUCAACGAGGAAUUCCUAGUAAACGCAAGUCAUCAGCUUGCAUUGAUUACGUCCCUGCCCUUUGUACACACCGCCCGUCGCACCUACCGAUUGAAUGGUCCGGUGAAGCCUCGGGAUUGCGAAUGCUUCGUGCGGACGCGAGAACUUGGCUAAACCUUACCAUUUAGAGGAAGGUGAANUCGUANCA